GCUUUGACAGGACCCCUAACACGGAGCUGGCUCCCAAGAGGAGACAGUUCCCAGGACCCUCCCUGCCUUGAAGAGGGCGGCGGGUGGGGGGAAUCUGGAGGCGAAGGGCUCAUCGAUCUCUGGGAUUCCCCAUCAGUCUUGCCACCUGGUCGGCAGGGUCCCGAAGGUUGUGGAUAGCGUGGGACCAGCGAGGGGCAGCAUGGGACCGGCGAGGGGCCCCUUACCUCCAGGCUGCGCGGGAUGGAGGAGGUUGAGCAAGAGGAUCAGCAAGACGCCAGGCUGCGGGACUGCCGCUGUCAGACCCGCCAUCUCGGGGAGGACUGCCCCAGCCUGCUCUCUGCGCCUCGUUUUAUCCCCAAAGCGUAAUUGCUGCCUGAGGCUCCGUGGACCUGCGAAGGGUGCAUGGCUCCAGAUUCUCUGCACUGCUCACCCAUGCACGUUAACGCAGCACCUGCACUGAGAAGGCAAAGUGAGUCGCUACCAUGGCUGGCAGAUGGAAGGACCCACCAGUUUCGCUGUGUUGAACAGAGUACCAAUGAGAACUCAGGAAAUGCAGGUGGAGAAUGCCACAGUAUCACUGCCAGAAGCCACCGACUGUGGAGAGCUAUACUCCAGCCUCUUUUCCACAAUUUCUUAAAAACAAACAAACAACAACCAAACUU
This 662-nucleotide long non-coding RNA is filed under the name Rattus norvegicus (Norway rat). RNAcentral describes it as "long non-coding RNA NONRATT007891". The record is from RNAcentral. Lineage: Eukaryota; Metazoa; Chordata; Mammalia; Rodentia; Muridae.